GUGGGUGUGACAAAGUAUAACCAAACUGCGUAUGUGCAUUUCUCAGACUUCAGAAGAGGAAACAUCAGAGUAGAGUCCGACAAAAACUGAUACAUCUGAGUAUUUUGAAACCCAGAACACCAACCACGGUAAGACCUUUCUGUUUCUGGUUCAACCCUAGAAAUCUAUCUUAGAUAAGUUAGUGUAAUAUUUGGCUGUAAGUCAAAGUUAAAAAACAAAAUACGGUUUCUUUAACACUGUUAAAUCUUCACUAAAGAGCUUAAGUUAAGUUCAGCAAAAUGUCUUAAGUCAAAAAUACAAUGAAAAAAAACAUAAUUAAAAGAGUCCUAAUUAUAAAAUGGUUGAUAAUUAAUGUAAGAAAAAUGUUUUAAAAGGCCAAAAUAAAAGGUAGUAAGUCACAGUUGUAAGGUGGUAAGUUAAGAUUAAGAGUCAUAAUUAUAAAAUGACUUCAAAGUUAUAAGAAAAAUGAGAAAUAUAUAUCACAAUCUUAAGACAAAUAUAACUAUAUGAUAGAAAGUCAUAAUAUCAAGACAGUGAGUUAUGACUGGGAAAUUUUUCAGAAUUAUCACAAAAAAAUAAAGCUAUAACAUAGUCAUAAAAUUGUAAGUUACAAUUAUGAAAGUAUGUCAUGAUUAUAACAGAGUCAGAGUUAUAAGAGAGAACAUUGUGAUUAUAAGAAAAGUUUAAAUUAUGAAACAUUUUGAUGAGCCUGUCAUCAAAUCAAAUAUACAGACUGUUCAUGAAAACAAAGACUGCCUGAAUGAAAGGGUAUGUUUGAUUAUCAAAUUAAUGAAGAUGUCUCAGAGCUGAAACUUUUAGAGAGGACUUCAGCAGUUUACACAGAGAUGUCCUGAACUGAUUUUUAUAUGAUUUGGCAUGAACAAUAAGAUGCCACAUUUUGCUGUUUCUAUCCUAGAAAGUCUGUGUAGAUGAGACCUGAGAUUUUCAACAGCAUUUACAGAGGCUGGUAGCUUAUUUACACUCUACUGACCUGAAGAGCUGCUUUACUUUUACUUUCAUUCUGACUCAAGAGCUUGUUAUCUUGACGACCAUUCCCCAGUGUGUCUUUAAAUGGUCACGUGAAAUUAAGAGUGAUUACACAGUGCCAAUAUAAACAGAGUUUUCUCAACUUUUUUUCCCUCUGCAGCCAUGGGAGGUGAGGAGUCAAAGCCUGUCCCAGAGCCAAGUAAUAUUAUUUUUGAAUAUUAAAUAAAUCUUUUAUCAAAAUACAAUUUCAGGGAAAAAUUCUGACAAAACCUAAAUUUGUUUUUCUUUCAGUGUUCAGUGAGCCAUGGCGGCAACUCAACUGGAUGUAAGUACUCUCUAAUGUCUAAUGUGCUAUUUUCCUAAAUCACUGGGUGUGUGAUUUACAAAGUGCCAGUGGAUAUACAAAACCAAAUCCUGACAGCAAAGGGUUAACUUUUUGGGGUUUAUUCAGAGUAACGUUUUCUUUUUUUAAACUCUUUGGUUUAUUCCUCUGCUUUGUUUUUAUGUAUGUCUGUGUUUACCUGGGUAAGCACUUAGUAAACCUUUUUGAAAGGUGCAGUAUAAAUACAUUAAUUAUUGGUGUUAUUAUUAUUAUUACAAUUAUAAUUACUAUAUCUGUUAUUAUUAUCUCUGUAAUUACUCAGCUACCAACUAAAUAAACAAAUAAGUUAGCUCCAAGAAUUGAUUAAAAGAUGAUUUUGUUGGUUUAAAAAUGAUUCACUUAUAUUCCUUCAGUUUUAAUGUUUGGUGCUAGUUCAUGCUCACUGCACACCUCUCUUUUGUCAAACUUGUGUCUCUGAUUUUCUGACCUCUGCAAACACACACCUGGCUCCUCCUCCUGCUGUCCUCUCCCCACACAUGGCUGCAUGACAGUUUGAACUGCUGCUGCACAAAGAGCUACAGAUACAUCAGUCUAUGUCCACCUUUUACAACAUCAGCAAAUUACAUGUGCACACAGCUGUGCUGCAAAUUUAUCUGCUCAAAUAAAAAGUGAAGAUUUUUAAAAAGAAUUUAAAAAAGGAUAGGUCUGAGUUAAAGAAUUUCACUCUUGCAAAAAGGAGCAGUCACAAACAGAAAGUCUGUAAGCAAGUGCUCAGAGGACUGUACUCUGACUUUGUUUUAGACACAGGGCGUUAUCAGUUUACAUCAGUCAUAUCGAAACAUAAUCAUCCAUAACAAGCUGUUCACAACUUUCUUUGUUUUGCAGACUGGGUUCAGCUUUUGUUUCCCAGCCUUGACUCAGGGUCAGAACAGAGAUAGACAGUAACAGUGUGUUGCUCAGCAUAUUUCUAUAAAAGCUGUCCUUAAAUUACCUUUGAUGACAUGAGUACAUGUACAAGGACUGGAUAAGAAGAUAUUUGUCCAGAAUCACUACUCAGUGUUCCAACAAAGUAAAUGUUCAGCUUCACAAUGCAAAGAAACUCUUUGCAGCCUGUUCAGCACAAUCGAAUGAGAGUAACCAAGCCCCCAUAUAUCCUGACGUCCAACUGUGUGCACUACCAACAUAAAACACAUAAGAACUAAUGUGGGACUUUUAUGAGAUAGUCACAUGACAGUAUGUGUGUGCACUGACACCUCUCCUGAGCCAUCCUUUCUCUCCCUUCAUAGUUUCACAUCCUGCACUGAAUGUGCACCACGUCAUUAUGCAAAACUAAAAAAAGUUGUGGUUGUUAUCAUUUUAUGUCACACAUCUUUCCUCCUCUGAACAGGGACAGACAAGGCAUUCUGGACUAUGUGAAGAACUACAACCCAAGGACCCCAGGGCAGCAGAUCAGAAUUCUUCUUCAUGGGCCAAAUGCAAGUGGAAAGUCCAGUUUCAUCAACUCUGUUAACAGUCUCUUACGUGCAAGACCGUACAUCAACGCUUUAGCAGACAACACCCACGGCGAAAGUUUUACCAAAGUGGUAUGAUGACUUUUUUGUUGUAACAUAAAGGAAAUGUCUCAAAUUUGUAAUGAUAAUGAAAAAUCUACUAACUCCCAGUGCAUGCCUUGUGUCAUAAUAAUCUUUACUUUUAUUACUUAAAGGGAUGGUUUAGUGGUUUCCAAGUGUGGUCAUUUCAGGUGCUCGUCAAUGUUAAGUGUAUUUGCCAAAGGGAUCCCAGUGACUUGGGCCCCCUUUGCUGAGAAACCACAUAGAGGACUACUACAGGUGGGCUCAGCUCCACCAAGUGAUUUCAAUCAUUUUAAAUCCCAACCAAGGGUUGAGGGUGCUGUUCUUGCAGUGGCUUUACCCAGUGAGGAGGCAGACAACAUCCAUUCUAUAUACAGUCUAUGGGCACAACCAAGAAAUUGAGGCUACAAGAUCCUUAAAGGUUAGCUGGUCAUCAAUCAUGACACUACAGUUUCCAGACAUACUUUGCGUGCAUCAGUUUCUCUGAUCCAAACUGGGUAUCAGUCUGAGUCAAAUGUGGUGUUUCUUCAUCCAUUCAGUCAUAUCACAAAAGCAUAAUGAGAUUUUAGUUGAAAGAGUUGUGUGAGUGUGACAGAAAGAGACGGGUAUUGUCUGCAUAGUAAUUGUUGUUGGCCUGAAAGAAAAAAAAUUCACUUGGACAGUUUUAAGGGACUUACAGUAUCUCACAAAAGUGAGUACACCCCUCACUUUUCUGAAAAUAAUUAUAUCUUUUCAUGGAAUAACACUAAAGAAAUAACACUUUGACACAAAGUACAGUAGUCAGUGUACAGCUUGUGAAAUAGUAUAAAUUUAUUUUUCCCUCAAAAUAACUCAACACACAGCCAUUAAUGUGUACACCCCUGGCAAAAAAAGUGAGUACACCACUAAGUGAAAAUGUCCAAAUCGGGCCCAAAGUGUGAAUAUUUUGUGUGGCCGCCAUCAUUUACCAGCACUUACUUAACCCUCUUGGGCAUGAAGUUCACCAGAGCUUCACAGGUUGCCACUGAAGUCCUUUCACCUUCCCUUUAGGAUGCCCCACAGAUUCUUAAUAUGGUUUAUAACAGUCUUAGCCAACAUAGCACCAGCUAACUUACUGGCUUCUGUCAAUGAGCAUAAGUUCAGACUUUGAGUUUGAAAUCUAACAUGUAGGGGUAUCUAAUGUGGAGGAUUGAAUUCAUUCUGCUCUCAAUCUGUUCAUCUGCCACCUAUUUAGAUUUAAAGCUGCUUUUGGUCGUGAAUAGCAAAAUGUUAGAUUGUUGUGGGAUGCUGAGCUGCUCAGUGAAUACAUUGUUUAGAAGUCUUUAUUACUACUGAGAUGAAGUUAGUAUUAUUACUUUAUGUAAGAUCACGUAAAAGCUGAACAAGCCAAUAGUUAGUAUUUUUUGUAAUAAGAACAGUUUUUUUGUGUGAAGAGGGGUUGGAUUACUGGAUAAAAGAUGAUGGAGGUAAAUAUGUUUACUUUGUUUAAUGGAUGGGGACGAAAAUAUUUAAAAGAAAUCCUGUAUGGGGAAAAAGAUGCAUUGAUAAUCAUGAUAAUCGUUAAAAUCACAAUAAUCAUUGCAUUUGUUUGAUAAUCAAAUUUUAGCACCCUGAACUGGGAUCGCAUUAAAACGUUAGGUGCCCAAGAUGGCCCAACCCAACUAACUACACUCUCCUCCAUCUGUCUUUAAAAGUACAAAACCUACAAGAUCGACAAAGGGACCCCAGGGGCAUAUUACCCUUUUGUGUUCAAUGACAUCAUGGGCCUGCAAAACAGUAGAGGGGUCCUUCCAGAUGAUGUCAAACUGGCUCUGAAAGGACAUGUCAUGGAAAAUUACGAGGUACAUUUACUGCAAACUUUGCACAUUUUUCUUCCAAAAAGAUUUUAACGCAUCAUGUAUUAAAUCAGAAUUCUGUCUUUGUUAACAUGUGUUUCACUGUAAUGUUCUUCAAAUGAAUUUAAAACUGUUUUCCAGUUCAAUCCUGAAUCCAUGUUGACUGAGGAGAAUCAGUUCUAUAAACAAUAUCCGUCUGAGGAUGACAAAGUGACGGUUCUGGUUUGUGUUGUUAAUGCCCACAACAUGUCCAUAAUAAAAGAUGAAACUCUGAGAAUGUUAUGUGACAUCAGGAAGGAAGCCAGUCGCCUGGGUAAGACCAGAAAAACUUUUCCAAUAUUUUUCUCAAGAGUUAGAUAAAACUUUGAAAAAAAAAACACAGUUUAAUUCUUGACAGAUCUUCAAACAGUUCCUCUAGCUGAUUUUGAUAUAUGUAUCUGAAGGAGAACAGUGGCUUUUGAAAUGUUUUUUUCUUUCAUGGGACUCAAAGUUUUGUGUUUGACAGGAAUCCCUCAAGUGGCCAUCCUCACCCACAUUGAUGAGGUCUGUCCUGAAGUCAAGAAAGAUUUAAAAGAUGUCUACAAGUCCAUCUUACUGAAGAAGAAGGUAUGCUUACUUGUUGAUUUCAUGAUUUUGUAAAGAAGGAAUCACACUUUAAAAAGUAGUCUACAAAUGACACACCACUGGGCUCUGUUGCUCAGCACUGUUUUUUCUGCCACAAUGCUGCAGUUAGAUCAGGUGAUGAAAAAAUGAAGAACAUCAAAAAUUCUAAUUUAUACAAAUAAAUCAAGAAUUAAAUCCAAACCAGAUCUGAAUCUUUGUCCUGUAGUCAGGAUGACAGGAACAGCUCAGUAUCAUCUACAUAGCAGUGAUAUGAGAAUCCACAAGUAUGUAUUAGUGCACUUAGUGGGUUGGACUUCUCCUCUCCGUGAUAACCAAAAAGAUUCCCCUUUGAGUCAGGACACAGACCUAGAGGCCCCACCUAAAGCCAGACUGUAGUCUCCUUCCAAAGUCCUGAACUCCUCGUUUUAGUCCUUCUAAAGUCCCCAUGCUCUAAUAGAGGUCACUCAGAGUCCUUUUCUCCUCAGAGAGGUCAUUUGAAAACCCUGAUAUCCUCAUGGAGGUUAUUCCAAAGUCACUACAUUUCACCCAAACACUCUGAUUGGCAGUGACUGUCCUGAUCAGACCAACCAGGAAACCAGAGACAUGUAGUCCAGAUCCAGUCUUUAUUUGAGACCAGUGUUUUUCUGUCAAAACAUGUAGAGACACCAGGCUAGUAUCAUCGACUCUGAGUUUAAUUGAAUAGAUAAAUGAAACAGCCAUUCUAAAUCAGGCCUCAUUACCUCUUGUUCUGAAGAUCAGCUGCUCAUAAUUCAAAUUUGUUUCACUAGAUGGAGGAGUUCAGUGCAAAGGUGGGGAUCCCGAUGAACUGCAUCUUCCCUGUGAAGAACUACCAUGACGAGAUUGACACCAACAAUGACCUUGAUGUUCUGCUCCUGAGUGCUCUGAAAAACAUCAUCAUCUUUGGAGAAGACUACCUUAACCCCUAACUGCAGUAUUCAGCUGUGUGAUCCAUGCUGCUGAAACCCACAGAGCUAAAUAUUAAAUGUAAUGACCAUUUAAGGUAAUAUUGAAUCAUUGCUUUCUGAAGUGUCUCUUUACUAUGUGCCAAAGUUGAGCUUUAUGUGAUCAGCUUAGCAAACUUUUUUCUGCUUUCAGUGAGUUUAUAGUUCUCUCUUGCUUCUGUGAUUUUUACUCUAUGAAGUUUUAAAAAAAUGCAAAAUUUGAUUUCAAAUGUAUUCAAGACUUUACAUUCACAAUAAGAAACAGACCUUCUUGGUCUAAACUCCUGUCUUACAUUUGUCUUUAUUUUUGGUGUCAAUCAGUAAAACCUGAAUUAAUUAUGUUAUUGCAUAGUGAGUUACAUGUUAAAAUAUUUUUUAAAAACAUGGUAAGAAUAUCUUUGCCUUGAGUUUGUAAUGACCUUCAUGACCUCAGACUUGUUUAGUCAGACAAUUUGGUUUUUAAGUAGACCGAACAAGAUGGAGCAGAGUGUAACGCCACAAAGCUCCAGCAGAGGGCAGCAGGCUGUCAUCUUCUGAAGCUUUACCCUCUGUUAGGGGCUCACAUGAAAUCUCUGAGAGUUCAUGCAGAUCUACAUUUGAGACAAAAUCAAAUUUGUAAUUUUCAUGUUCUGUCAUGAAAUUACUAAAUUUUUUAGGGGUCCAGCUUGAGAUCACAAAGAGUGGGACAAAUAUACAGGAAGUGCUUACCAUCAAAUGUAAAUCAAGGAUGUGACUUUAGUCAUCAGUUUCUGGUCACUCGUCUUGUACUACGGUUUUCAUAUUCUGUCCAUAAAUGAACAAAGUUUGGUUACAGUUUGUCUCAGUGUACCACCCCAGUUCAAAAAAGUAAAGACACCAUGUGAAAUUGGAUCAAAAAUAGGUCUUGGACAAGAUAUUAAUGCUGACACUGAAACAUUUGAUCAUUUGAUGAAAAAUACGUUGGUUUGUUUUUAAGUUUGAUGGUAGCAGUACAUUUCAAAAAGUUGGAUGAGGACAACAAAACUCUGAAUACGUCGUUUAAUGCUAAAAACAUCAGCUGGAGGAACAUCUCCAACUAAUGAGGUUAAUUUCCAACAGGUUAGUAACAUGAGUGAGUAUAAAAAAGACAUUCAGAGAGACGGAGUCUCUCAGAAGGAAAGAUGGGAAGAGGUUCACCACUCUGUGAGAGACUGCAUGAGCUAAUAGUUGAAAAGUUUCAGAAUAAUGUCCCUGAGUGUCAAAUUUGAAAGAAUGAGUGGAUUUCAUUAUCUACACUGCAUAAUAUCAUUGGCUCUUGUAGUAUACCAUGUUUAUUUUCUCAAAAGUCAUGUUUCAAAACAAGAGAUUUCACAAGACGUGUAUGGUGCAUUUCGUUCAGCUCACCAUUCUACACUGUGUACAAUGCACACCGAGAACAGUGUAGCGAUAGGAAUGAAUAACAAGUGUCCUGAGAUAAUAAUCUUAAAUCAUGACAUUUAUGCACUCAUUGAAAGGGGCACGACCCACCUUAAUGACGGUAGAAAUAAAGAAAAACAAAGGUUUAAUUCAGAAAUCAAACAUUAAGUUAAUCUUAAAUCAAUUUUAAAUCAAUCUCAUAUCUCAAGCCGACAUUCUCAUUUCAGGAACUCCACUUCUGGAAGAACACUAACAGACAAGAACUUAGAAAAAUAAUGUUCGGUUUAUCGCCGGGUAAAUACUGGUCCAACACACAUGCAGUAAAUGAUGAUAAGAUAAUGAGGAUAAAUAAUGAAAGAUGAAUGAAAGAUUCUGAGUCAGGCUAUGAUUUCUAAAGUUAAUGAUAGUGUGUGAAUACGCUCUAACAUAUUAACCUACAUUAACUUUGGUGUAGAGAUAAAUUUGGAUGUGGAUCUGGAUGAAUUUAGGAUUACUCAAAUUAGCGAUUAUUUGAAUCAUGAACGCACUUAAUCUUGGAUUGCUAUGUGCACAAAAGUAGCUGAAGUUGUUUUGUUUUGUGUAGCGCUGCGUAAGUCAAAUCCACUGCACCGAUGAGGCGUGCCCAAGCACACUUCGGUAUUUUGGUGAGCAGCGCAGCCCGGAUUUAGUAUCUCCCCUCCCUAACUCAGCUCCUCCCAGCGGUGUAAGUAGUACAGAGGGAGGGGAUAAGGCAUGGAGUGGGUUUGACACAGCCGAGUCCUGUUUUCACCAAUCACAUCAGCUCCUCUCCUCACCUUUAAAUCCGCCACCACGAGGCAUUUUACAAUUUUCAUCAAGUGGUUUGAAAGAUCAGGAGAUGGCUGAAGACAGCAAUGCAACACAAUGGCGACAGAAGGCAGCCCCUCAACAAGUGUCACUGUAAGCACUGCAGAGGGCAUCCUCCACACUCUCUCAUAUCACACGUCCCGGGUGGAAGCGAGAAGACUGACGCAACAGCAGACUGACUGUUUGCAGUUCCGAUUAGACAACAGCGUUGAGAUGACUGUCUGUAGCAUGUAGCAUACUAUUCUGCUGGUCACCCAAGGUUUGCUGUUGGAGAAACACCGUAUUUUCCUGGUGGGUACGGUGUUAUCAACACAGAAGUUUAUAUCGUCCGUGACAAUCUGUCAUGGUGUCGAUGUCAUCACCAUGUGGGCCGCACAGUACAUCCCAGUCUGUAGUCUCAAAACAGUCCUGCAACACCUCAGUCAUACCCAAAGUUUUAUUGUCUCUCGUUGGGCAGUUGGGCCAGAGAUGAUGAUCAGAGACUGAGGGUGUGAUGUUUGUAGCUUGGACACUUCACUAUGGAGGAGUUCACAGGCUGCAGCAGCAUCAGCCGAGGGGAGGAAAAGAUGUCAUCACAUCUUUGUCAUCUUUGUCAAGAUGUGAUGACAAAUGUUUAUCUGAUCGAGUGGUCCUGCAGUUCUUUCCUGCUGGCCAUAAACGAUUCUGUCUCUGUCUCUGUCUCUUUGAAGUGGAAAGGUUUGUCUUUUUGAGAAGGCUUCUUUGUUUGUCUUGUAUAGAGACAGGAGGUUUUACAAAGAUUGUGAUUUGGUGUUAAAGGUCUAAAACAUCUUGUCUCUGGUGAGCAGAUGUAAGCCUUACAUUCCUUUGGGGGGUUGUGUUAAAAAAGUGGUCACCUCUGCUACAACAGAGAGGCAGGAGGAGAAAGAGAAACUAAAAUCGACAGGAUAGGAAAUCCUGUGGCUGUGACAAAGUAUAACCAAAUUGCGUAUGUGCAUUUCUCAGACUUCAGAAGAGGAAACAUCAGAGUAGAGUCCGACAAAACUGAUACAUCUGAGUAUUUUGAAACCCAGAACACCAACCACGGUAAGACCUUUCUGUUUCUGGUUCAACCCUAGAAAUCUAUCUUAGAUAAGUUAGUGUAAUAUUUGGCUGUAAGUCAAAGUUAAAAAAACGAAAUACGGUUUCUUUAACACUGUUAAAUCUUCACUAAAGAGCUUAAGUUAAGUUCAGCAAAAUGUCUUAAGUCAAAAAUACAAUGAAAAAAACAUAAUUAAAAGAGUUCUAAUUAUAAAAUGGUUGAUAAUUAAUGUAAGAAAAAUGUUUUAAAAGGCCAAAAUAAAAGGUAGUAAGUCCCAGUUGUAAGGUGGUAAGUUAAGAUUAAGAGUCAUAAUUAUAAAAUGACUUCAAAGUUAUAAGAAAAAUGAGAAAUAUAUAUCACAAUCUUAAGACAAAUAUAACUAUAUGAUAGAAAGUCAUAAUAUCAAGACAGUGAGUUAUGACUGGGAAAUUUUUCAGAAUUAUCACAAAAAAAUAAAGCUAUAACAUAGUCAUAAAAUUGUAAGUUACAAUUAUGAAAGUAUGUCAUGAUUAUAACAGAGUCAGUGUUAUAAGAGAGAACAUUGUGAUUAUAAGAAAAGUUUAAAUUAUGAAACAUUUUGAUGAGCCUGUCAUCAAAUCAAAUAUACAGACUGUUCAUGAAAACAAAGACUGUCUGAAUGAAAGGGUAUGUUUGAUUAUCAAAUUUAAUGAAGAUGUCUCAGAGCUGAAACUUUUAGAGAGGACUUCAGCAGUUUACACAGAGAUGUCCUGAACUGAUUUUUAUAUGAUUUGGCAUGAACAAUAAGAUGCCACAUUUUGCUGUUUCUAUCCUAGAAAGUCUGUGUAGAUGAGACCUGAGAUUUUCAACAGCAUUUACAGAGGCUGGUAGCUUAUUUACACUCUACUGACCUGAAGAGCUGCUUUACUUUUACUUUCAUUCUGACUCAAGAGCUUGUUAUCUUGACGAUCAUUCCCCAGUGUGUUUUUAAAUGGUCACGUAACAUCAAGAGUGAUUACACAGAGCCGAAGGAAAAGAGAUGUUAUCAAACAGUUUUUCAAAUGAACUUUGUUUGAGAGCCAAGGCAUCUUUUUUAAGUGGACUUUCUAUUUAAAAGUUUGCAUGUUCAGGAAUACUGUUCAACUCAUUUUGAUUUCAUUGAUUAACUUAUUUGUAUAGAAAGAGGACAGGAAAGCACUCACAGGGUAAUGUUUUGGAUUUUUUCAAAUGUAACCCAGAGAUUUCUUACAAGGAUUUUUUUUUCACAGUUUUCUAGGCUAAUUAUGAUUUUCAGGAAAUAUAAGCAGUUAUUUCCUUUUUUUUCUCUGCAGCCAUGGGAGGGUUGUAUUCAUACUUUCCAGAGCCAAACCCUGAUCCAGAGCCAUGUAAUAUUAUUUUUGAAUAUUAAACAAAUCUUUUAUCAAAAUAAAAUUUUUUGGAAAAAUUCUGACUAAACCUAAAAUUUGUUUUACUUUCAGUGUUCAGUGAGCCAUGGCGGCAACUCAACUGGAGGUAAGUGCUCUCUAAUGUACUAUUUUCCUAAAUCCCUGGGUGUGUGAUUUACAAAGUACCAGUGGAUAUACAAAACCAAAUCCUGACAGCAAAGGGUUAAGAUUCUGAGUUAAGAUCUGUUUUUUGUUGUUGUUGUUGUUGUUUUUUAACUCUCUCGUUUACUCCUCUGCUUUGUUCUUAUGUAUGUCUGUGUUUACCUGGGUAAGCACUUAGUAAACCUUUUUGAAUGGUGCAGUAUAAAUACAUUGGUUAUUAGUAUUAUUAAUAUUACCAUUAAAAUUACUAUAACUGUUAUUAUUAUCCCUGUAAUUACUCAGCUACCAACUAAAUAAACAAAUAAGUUAGCUCCAAGAAUUGAUUAAGAGAUGAUUUUGUUGGUCUAAAAAUGAUUCACUUUUACUCCUUCAGUUUUAAUGUUUGGUGCUAGUUCAUGCUCACUGCACACUUCUCUCUUGUCAAACUUGUGUUUCUGCUUUUCUGACAUAUGCAGACACACACCUUCCUCCUCCCCCCACUAUCCUCUCCCCACACAUGGCUGCAUGACAGUUUGCACUGCUGCUGCAAAAAGAGCUCAAGAUACAUCAGUCUAUGUCCACCUUUUGCAAUAUCUGCAAAUUCCAUGUGCACACAACUCUGCUGCACAUUUAUCUGAGCUAAUAAAAAGUGAAAAUGUUAUGAAGAAUUUAAAAAAGGAUAGGUCUCAGUUAAAGAUUUUUCUUCUUGCAAGAAAGAGCAGUCACAAACAGAGAGUCUGUAAGCAAAUGCUCAGAGGACUGUCCUCUGACUUUUUUUAGACACAGGGCAUUACCACUUAACAUCAGUCAUAACGAAAGCAUGCUCAUCCAUGACAAACUGUUGGCAACUCUUGCUUUCUUUGUUUUGCAGACUGGGUUCAGCUUUUGUUUCUCAGCCUUGACUCAGGGUCAGAACAGAGAUAGACAGUAACAGUGUGUUGCACAGUAUAUUUCUAUAAGAGCUGUCCUUAAAUUACCUUUGAUGACAUGAGUACAUGUACAAGGACUGGAUAAGAAGAUAUUUGUCCAGAGUCACCAUUCAUAGUUCCCCCAUACAUCUGGAAGUCCAUCUGUGUGCACUACUUACAUAAAACACAUAAGAACUAAUGUGGGACUUUUAUGAGAUAGUCACAUGACAGUUUGUGUGUACACUGACACCUCGCCUGAUCCAUCCUUUCUCUCCCUCCAUAGUUUCACAUCCUGCACUGAAUGUGCGUCACUUAAUUAUGCAAAACUAAAAUAAUGUGUGGUUGUUAUCAUUUUAUGUCACACAUCUUUCCUCCUCUGAACAGGGACAGACGAGGCAUUCUGGACUAUUUGAAGAACUACAAACCUAAGACCCCAGAACAAGUGAUCAGAAUUCUUCUUUAUGGGCCACCUGGAAGUGGAAAGUCCAGUUUCAUCAACUCUGUUAACAGUCUCUUACGUGAAAGACCGUACAUCAACGCUUUGGCAAGCCAUAACUACAGCAGAAGUUUCACCACAACGGUAUGACAACUUUUUUGUUGUAACAUAAAGGAAAUGUCUCAAAUUUGUAAUGAUAAUGAAAAAUCUACUAACUCCCAGUGCAUGCCUUUUGUCAUGAUAAUCUUUACUUUUAUUACUUUAAGGGAUGAUUUAGUUGUUUUCAAGUGUGUUAAUUUCAGGUGCUCGUCAAUGUUAAGUGUAUUUGCCAAAGGGAUCCCACAUGACUUGGGCCCCCUUUGCUGAGAUACCACAUAGAGGACUACUGCAGGUGGGCUCAGCUCCAACAAGUGAUUUCAAUCAUUUUAAUCCCCAACCAAAGCACUAAUUUUGGUGUCCACUCUAGGUGAGACUUCAAAAUCAAAGUGUUGCCUUGAUUCACAGAGAUCUUCUACCACAAUCUGUGGUUGGCUUGUUCAUACUGCAGUAUGUCUUUUAUUUAGCUUCAUGGGAAAAAGUCAUGUUAUAGAGGGCUAAAAGGCACAACCAAGCAAUUGAGGCUACAAGAUCCUUAAAGGUUAGCUGGUCAUCAAUCAUGACACCCUAGUUUCCGGACAGACUUUCUGUGCAUGAGUUUCUCUGAUUCAAACUGGGUAUCGGUCAGAGUCGAAAAUGGUGUUUCUUCAUCCAUUCUGAGAUAUCAGAAAAGCAUCAUGAGAUUUGAGCUGAAAGAGUUGUGUGUGGAUGACAGAAAGAGCUGGGAAUUGUCUGCAUAGUAAUUGUACAAAAAACAAUGAGAGACAAUAAUUACGCCAAGAAGGAAUGAAGACUUGAGUUUUAGACUUGGACUUGAGUCCAACUUACGUCGUAUACAGGACAGGCCAAAAGUUUGGACACACCCUCUCAUUUAAUGCAUUUUCUUUAUUCUCAUUACUAUUUGUACUGUAGAUUCUCACUGAGGGCAUCAAAACUAUGAAUGAACAUAUGUGGAAUCAUGUGCUUAAGAAAAAAGUGUGAAAUAACGGAAAACAUGUUUAAGUUUUAGAUUCCUCAAAGUAGCCACCCUUUGCUUUUUUGAUAGCGCUGCAAACUUUUGCUGUUCUCUCAAUGAGCUUCAUGAGGUAGUCACCUGUAUUGGUUUUUACUUCACAGGUGUGCCUUUACCAAGUACUUCUGUCAUCAAGAGCAAAGGGUGGCUAUUUUAUCACACCUGAUUUUCAGCUUCUGGUGCAUGAGCAUCCACACAUAGACUAUAACUAAGAAGGCCACUCAAGCAUAUUUAUUGCCCAAUUUUAGCCUUUUUUCAUCCCCAUGAGAUCUCUGUCCUGAAAUUAAAAUGAUCACUCAUUACCCCUGUGCAUGUUGGGAAAGUUCUGAUGAGAGAUGUAGGCCCCACCUUUUAAUGUUGGCAAAUGACUGUGGUCACAGUCUCAGAGAUAGCUUUGCACUUUCAUUCGUGGCUAUACAAUUCUUAUUUUGCUAUUUUUUAAUCUAUGGGAGACUGGACUGGAUCUUGCUGUUCAGAGACUUUGACUUGGACUCAGAGAAUGAAGAGGAAAGAUUUAAAUUAGGGGUGGGCCAAUGCAUCAGUUCUUCAAUGCAUCACGAUGGAACACGUGACGAUCAAUUAGGAUUAAAAAAUAUUCAAAGUUGAUUAUUUCCCAUGACGUUGAAAUUACAGAAACACCAGUAAGUGUUUAUUUGAGCAGCUUUUUAGGUGAAAAAAAGUGUUGGAUCAUUGGUCUAUUAAAAAUAAUAUAAUGGA
RNAcentral lists this long non-coding RNA (14150 nucleotides) under Xyrichtys novacula (pearly razorfish). Lineage: Eukaryota; Metazoa; Chordata; Actinopteri; Labriformes; Labridae. The record is from RNAcentral.